UAGGGAAUCUUCCACAAUGGACGCAAGUCUGAUGGAGCAACGCCGCGUGAGUGAAGAAGGUUUUCGGAUCGUAAAGCUCUGUUGUUGGUGAAGAAGGAUAGAGGCAGUAACUGGUCUUUAUUUGACGGUAAUCAACCAGAAAGUCACGGCUAACUACGUGCCAGCAGCCGCGGUAAUACGUAGGUGGCAAGCGUUGUCCGGAUUUAUUGGGCGUAAAGCGAGCGCAGGCGGAAUGAUAAGUCUGAUGUGAAAGCCCACGGCUCAACCGGGGAACUGCAUCGGAAACUGUCAUUCUUGAGUGCAGAAGAGGAGGGUGGAAUUCCAUGUGUAGCGGUGGAAUGCGUAGAUAUAUGGAAGAACACCAGUGGCGAAGGCGGCUCUCUGGUCUGCAACUGACGCUGAGGCUCGAAAGCAUGGGUAGCGAACAGG
This 429-nucleotide ribosomal RNA is filed under the name bacterium. RNAcentral's name for it is "partial 16S ribosomal RNA". It matches the Rfam family "Bacterial small subunit ribosomal RNA", at positions 355 to 776 of the family's 1533-position model. The record is from RNAcentral.